This 253-nucleotide ribosomal RNA is filed under the name uncultured bacterium. RNAcentral's name for it is "partial 16S ribosomal RNA". It matches the Rfam family "Bacterial small subunit ribosomal RNA", at positions 524 to 776 of the family's 1533-position model. The record is from RNAcentral.
UACGGAGGGUGCAAGCGUUGUUCGGAAUCACUGGGCGUAAAGGGUGCGUAGGCGGAUUGUUAAGUGAAAUGUGAAAGCCUGAGGCUCAACCUCAGAACUGCAUUUCAAACUGGCUUUCUCGAGUAUAGAAGAGGUAAGUGGAAUUCUCAGUGUAGCGGUGAGAUGCGUAGAUAUUGAGAGGAACACCAGCGGUGAAAACGGCUUACUAUUUUGUUACUGACGCUGAGGCACGAAGGCUAGGGGAGCAAACAGG